ACAUUUCUGAUACAAUUUCUUAUUAAUACUAAUAUUAAUACUAAUAAUUAAUAAUGCUCCAGAGCCAUAAACCCCUCUACAUUUUGUAGUUAUUCUUGUGCUCCACAUUUUCAGCUUCCCUGAGGAAGCACAACUCAUUAAAAACCUUAUUCCCUUUCAUUCAUGGCUACCAAACCUUUCAGCUGCAUUUAUUGAAGCUUCUGCAUUUUUAAACACAUUGAAAUACUGACUCUGCAGUCCAGCCCACAGCUGCUUACAGGAAAACAGCGUUACCUCUGAAGCAGAAAACAAGGCUAAUCUUCUCCAUUUUAACCUCUGUGGAAAAGCCAGAGGCAAGUAGGGUUCUCAAAAAAAAGAGGUCAGAAUCAUCUAUUAUGCCACCAAAAAAGUAUAAAAAUACAUAAAAGAGCAGUUAUUGUAAUACCGGGCAGAGGGAAACAUGAAAACAAUUGCACAGCUCUAAUCCACAUUCUUUUGUCAAUGAUUACCCUCAAAUGGUCCCACGAAAUGAAGCAGAAAAAAACCCUUAGCGGAAUAACCCUCAUUAAGCAACUUAAUUUUCAGAAGCGAGUGAGGGGCUGUCACAAGUGAAUUGUUCUUUGCAUUCCCUCUUGGGACAUUCGCCACCUGUUCAUUCCCCCCUCCUUGGAGGCAGAGGAAGGCUUGGAUCGCUCAGAGAGCGGCAGCCGACUGGUGUUACAGCCUGCAGCCAUGCAGCUCAAGCUGUGAUGCCAUGAACGAGGGCCGUGGGCAGGCCUGGCAGGGACCCCCCGGCAGCAGCACACGGGGAGCUGGCUCUGGAGCUGCAGAAGAGUCACAGACACAGGCCUUGGGGCUGGCUGCCCCACGAGAGCCCCAGCUGGCCCACAGAUCAGGACAUGGCCAGCCGGGCCUCACCGGCUCCAUGGUGCCUUUGGAGCCUCAGGCCUGAGGGAGGCUGACGGGCCUGCACACACGCACACCUCACAAAUCAGCUGCAGCAACAUCAGUUCUUCAGGUGUCUCCUCUCUUCAUUCCCAGGGCCUGCUCUGCUCUGCUCAGCACCUGUUCUAGAGACCACCAUUUAAAGGCUGAUGAGGUUGGAGCCAAAGGCAAGACACAGGCAGGAGCUGAGAAGCCAAUACAGCUGUCAGCUGAUGCAGGAACAGGAAGAGAAUUAUUUUCACAAGCUGGCAUGUUUAGGAGAGAAGCAUUCUUGUCCUCAUCAGAGACAUCAGUGAUCGUGUCCUCGUUGCCUGGAACCCUCUUGGGAAAAAUGAGCAAGAGUUCAGGAAAUCUCGUGUGUAGAUAAGCAGACACCACCAACAACUGAAAAGUAUGGUGGAGACAUAUGAAAGCCCAGUUCUUCUACAGAAGCCCAGCCAACUCCAGGAGCAAUCGAAGAAAUUCCCUGCAGUUAAAAAAGAAAUAGUGAGGCCAUUUCCCAGUGAAGAAUUUUCUCACAUGGAAUUUCUCAUUGGCUCUGGUUGGUGCCCCUAAACAUUAACUUACCCUCGGGCUUGUUCUCACCAGUAAGGUGGAGUGGUAAUUUCUUCAUACCAGGGUAGGUAACAGCACUUGCAUCAAACUUUUAUUCCUAAUACCACCUGUGGUUUAUUCAACCACUCUCAUGGAAAGUAAAAUGGCACUGAUAGCAGGGGAAAAAGUCUCAGUCAUUUUCAGAGUUUAUUGCUGGCUCCAUGUAUGAUGG
Cyanistes caeruleus (blue tit) is the source of this 1690-nucleotide non-coding RNA. Lineage: Eukaryota; Metazoa; Chordata; Aves; Passeriformes; Paridae. The record is from RefSeq and is a predicted model, not a curated record.